This 253-nucleotide ribosomal RNA is filed under the name uncultured prokaryote. RNAcentral describes it as "partial 16S ribosomal RNA". It matches the Rfam family "Bacterial small subunit ribosomal RNA", at positions 524 to 776 of the family's 1533-position model. The record is from RNAcentral.
UACAGAGGUCCCAAGCGUUGUUCGGAUUCACUGGGCGUAAAGGGUGCGUAGGUGGCGAGGUAAGUCGGAUGUGAAAGCUCGGAGCUCAACUCCGAAAUGGCAUUGGAAACUACCUUGCUUGAGGGAUGGAGGGGGGACUGGAAUUCUCGGUGUAGCAGUGAAAUGCGUAGAUAUCGGAAGGAACACCAGUGGCGAAAGCGGCUCACUGGCUCGUAACUGACGCUCAUGCACGACAGCGUGGGGAUCAAACAGG